GAUGAACGCUGGCGGCGUGCUUAACACAUGCAAGUCGAACGGUGAAGGCGGAGCUUGCUCUGCUGGAUCAGUGGCGAACGGGUGAGUAACACGUGAGCAAUCUGCCCCUGACUCUGGGAUAAGCGCUGGAAACGGCGUCUAAUACUGGAUACGAGCUGCGAAGGCAUCUUCAGCAGCUGGGAAGAAUUUCGGUCAGGGAUGAGCUCGCGGCCUAUCAGCUUGUUGGUGAGGUAAUGGCUCACCAAGGCGUCGACGGGUAGCCGGCCUGAGAGGGUGACCGGCCACACUGGGACUGAGAAACGGCCCAGACUCGUAAGGGAGGCAGAAGUGGGGAAAAGUGCAAAAGGGGCGAAAGACGGAUGCAGCAACGUCGCGUGAGGGACGACGGCCUUAGGGUGGUAAACCGCUUUUAGCAGGGAAGAAGCGAAAGUGACGGUACCUGCAGAAAAAGCGCCGGCUAACUACGUG
RNAcentral lists this ribosomal RNA (468 nucleotides) under uncultured bacterium. RNAcentral describes it as "partial 16S ribosomal RNA". It matches the Rfam family "Bacterial small subunit ribosomal RNA", at positions 28 to 507 of the family's 1533-position model. The record is from RNAcentral.